CAGACGCCAACUGGAUAACGGUUUUAUCGUGGAGACACAAUGGCCAGCCUUCACAGCGGAAAACCACAUCCGAGUAUCCAGCCUGGGAAUAAAACACAAAGAUGCUGCAGUAAAAACAAGCUUCAUACUCACACAUGCAGCCUGCUGGACACUCUCCAGCAGAUGUUUGGAAGGAAUCAGGAAGUCCAGCAGGCACUGCAGGGCAUCGCCAUGGUAGCGUUCCUCUAUGGUCCGAAAGAGCUGGCUGAUGACGAUGGGUGCAGUGACCUCAAAAGGAGGGAAGAGGGCCGACAGGGCAGUCUGGAUGGACAGGUCCAGAGAUUCUGGAUUCUGGAGACAAGUCAAAGUCAAGGCUGAUGAUUUCAUGCAGACCCUCUCAACAUACGUCACCUUCUUGGGUUUAGUAGAGGAAGCUUUGAGCACCUGCUGAUCGGAAAGUUGACUUUCAGUUUACGUGUGGAUGUGUCUCUUGGGUGGGAAGUUAAAACGGCCAUUUGGCACAACAAAUGCAUGCAGUGGAGCAGCCAUAAAAGCAGCCAACCAUGAAGCAGAAGGGCUGCAGCAGCAGGAGGCCAAACUUGGACAAUCAAACCACCUUUUUGCGGGAAACUGACGCCGCAUGUCAGACGAAAAAAGAGCGUUUUUUUAAGAGCCUCAUUGUUGCAGUAUUUGGUUUGCAGGAUGUAAAUAACUAUUUUAAAAAACUAUCAUAUUAAACAUAUUUGUCGAUAAAAAGUCAAAGUACAUUUAAUUUAAAAUGUUUUCUCAUCAGUAUGCUACCUGGAGAAGGAUAUAUUAGCUAAAAUGUUGAUUAUUUCCUGAAAAGACUAUAGAAAACAACAGUUUAAGUAAAUUGUAAAUUUAGGCCGGACUUGUUUAGCAGGAUUACUUUUCACAAUAAUAGCAUAAGUAAACAAACAUUCUGAGACUGGUAUUCUACAUUUUUCGGUGUUUUUCUGUUGUCGAUGUUCAAGUUUUCUACUAUUACAGAUGUUAUUUUUAAUUGGGACACAAUCAGAAGAAGUGUGUAAACCCAGCAGAUACUACUUAAAUAAAUAAAGUUUUUUUAGAUUCCUUUCAAAAUAGUGUUUUUGGUCACAUUUUAAACCAAAACCAGUGAUAUAUAUCUUUAAAUGUUCUGCAGAGAUCCACCCAACCUCCUUAUACAAAGAACAACAACAAAGAAAAGUUACAAAGAACAUACAUAGUGUACAGUCAAAUAAGAUGAUUCUGAGUUGAAGUGCAAACAUUUUCUGCAUGUUUAUUUUGUCAAUACUUAAUUUAUAGAUUAUUUGUAGAAGAAAAGUAUAUGGUCCAUGAUAAAUUCAGGCGAAGACCAAAAACAAAACAUCUGUCUAUCCAUCUUCAGAAACCCUGUAAUUUGGGUUGCUGGAGCCUUUCCCAGCUACUGUUGGAUGAAAAGCUUGCCAGUGUGUUGCAGGGUCACACACCUCACCUUUACACCUUGGGGCAAUUUGGAGACACCAGUGAACCUAUGAAUCAUGAUUUUUGCCUGUGGGAGGAAACGGGAAAGCCCGAAAAAAAAAAAACACGCAACCAAAAGGAAGCACGCACACAGAAGGGACGCAGCUGGGAUUUGAACCAGCACCUUCUUGCUGUGAGGCAACCACUACCCCGCCGGGCAGCCCUGUAAAGUUUAAUGAAUUUUAUUUAGUUAUUUAAAGAAUUUAUGCUAACAUUCAGAAAAACUUGAAGAUGUUAAACAAAAGUUUUUUUCUUCUGCGAAAUGUUUUCUACAUCAAAAA
Non-coding RNA from Oryzias latipes (Japanese medaka), 1766 nucleotides. NCBI's taxonomy places the organism in Eukaryota, Metazoa, Chordata, Actinopteri, Beloniformes, Adrianichthyidae. The record is from RefSeq and is a predicted model, not a curated record.